RNAcentral lists this transfer RNA (69 nucleotides) under Paracontias holomelas. Its description in RNAcentral is "tRNA-Glx". The record is from RNAcentral. Lineage: Eukaryota; Metazoa; Chordata; Lepidosauria; Squamata; Scincidae.
UAGAAAAACAGGACUCGAACCUGCACCAAAAGGCUCAAAACCCUCUGCACUCCCGCUAUACUAUUUUCU